CCACCCGAGCCACUGCCUGUUCACCCCGCUAUCAUCCAGAAGGCGAGGAUUGUGUUCCUUUGCUCAUUGUUUGCAGAACACUCAAGUUUUACAUGGGCUCCACGUGAUGCCCAGAGAAUAAGAGGCUAUGGGUUUUCUGGCUUUUCCAGAAUGGAAGUUGCGCAGAGGCAAACAGGUGGCAGCUAUCCCCAGGAUCAAUUCAGACCAGCCUCUCGUGGCUCUAUCCCCAGCAGCUUUACCUCUGCCCAGACAAAGGGUAAGAGGACCCGUGCCAAGAAUACUGACAUUAGCCUCUCUGGUUCUAUAGCCAGUGGCGCCUCUGCCAUCCACAACAUGCAUCAAACCAAGGCCAGCAGAACCUAUAGUCAAAGUGUCUCUGACCCCAGUGCAGUAAGGCCAGUUUCAAGUUGGGAGGCAAAGAGAAUUCAGCCCUACACUCUUCAUCCAGUACAGCCUCACUCCAGCAGCUCUGGUUUAGUCCAGAAUCCAUAUGGUAUGUUUAAUGUCCACAGUAGACCUGCCUCUAACCUGAAACCAUCUACUCCAAACUAUGGCUCUACCCAGAGUGGAUUGAAGUUCUCCACCUCCAGACAACCCAACCAAGGCCUUGUCCAGACUCAGAGUAGAGGAGCCCCCAGCCUCUAUGGUCAAGCUGCUACCCUCACCCGCUAUGUCCAGGACCUGGAGCAAGGGAGCAGCUUCUCUACCCUGGCUUCCAAGGGACCAAUAGAAAUCUCUGCCCAGUCAAUUUCCACUCCUGACCGUCAAGUUCCCUCAAGUGGUUCUUCAUUUAGACCAGGUCCUCUGAGUUUUGGUUCUACUCAAGGUGG
Molecule: long non-coding RNA, 830 nt
Filed under: Salmo salar (Atlantic salmon)
Lineage: Eukaryota; Metazoa; Chordata; Actinopteri; Salmoniformes; Salmonidae
Description: lncRNA (ENSSSAG00000121357.1)
Source: RNAcentral